Molecule: long non-coding RNA, 1488 nt
Filed under: Sus scrofa (pig)
Lineage: Eukaryota; Metazoa; Chordata; Mammalia; Artiodactyla; Suidae
Description: lncRNA (ENSSSCG00050073062.1)
Source: RNAcentral
AGGAGCCACAGACAAACUUUCAUGAUACAAUGCAUUCAGUGCCACAUCCGAGAGGUCUGUGCAGAGCAUGAGCUGGACACUCAGACGGGCUGCCUAAUCCAGCGGAAUGGGGGCGUUGCAUCCUGGGAGGGAGGAAAGGAAAGGCUUCUAAAAGGUGGUGAGGAGUUCCCGCUGGGCCCUGCGGAAACUAAUCUGACUAGGAUCCAUGAGGACACAGGUCCAAUUGCAAUGCCGGAUCCUUAACCCAGAGUAUCAGACCAGGUAGACAGUGAACCCAGGGUGCCACAAAGACACCACCAGAUCCUUAACCCAGUGCCCCACAGCAGAAACUCCCCUAAAUGAGAUCUCACAGCAACGCCAGAUCCUUUAACCCACUGAGUGAAGCCAGAGAUGGAACCCACAUCCUCAUGGACACUAGUCAGGUUCUUGACCGACUGAGCCACAGGGAGACUCCCAAAGGAGAUGAUAUUUGGAGCGGAGUCCUAGAGGGUGAAGCUGUAAGUGGGUUGAUGGAUGGUAAAUCUGGUCGAAGGGGCAGUAUGAACAAGAGGAACAGAUACAAGAAGGAGAAAAAAAGAACAAGUGUCUGAAUGCAAACCCCAUUCAGGUUCGAGUUGCUGGAAUGUCAAAAGAAAGGCCUAGGAGUUCCCACUGUGGUGCAGGAGGUUAAGGAUUCAGUGCUGCCGCUUCUGGGGCAUCGGUCGAAGCUGUGGCUUGAGCCUGAUCCCUGGCCCAGGAAUUCCUUGCACUGUGGGUGCAGCCAUUAAAAAAGAAUUGAAAAAAGAAAGGCGUUGGAGUUCCCAUCGUGGCACAGCAGAAAUGAAUCUGACUAGAAAGACUAGAAACCAUGGGUUUGUCGGUUCGAUCCCUGGCCUCAUUCAGUGGGUUAAGGAUCUGGCGUUGCCAUGAGCUGUGGUGUAGGUCGCAGAUGUGGCUUGGAUCCCGCGUUGCUGUGGCUCUGGUGUAGGCCAGCGGCUACAGCUCCGAUUGGACCCCUAGCUUGGGAACCUCCAUAUGCCACAGGUGUGGCCCUAAAAAGCUAAAAGGAAAGAAAAAGAAGAAAAAAGAAAGGCCUAGAGGCUUAGGAUCACCUGCUAGAGAGGCGGGGCUGGAGAUGACCAGAGGGUCUUGUUGGCAACACUAAACCACCUUAUCUGCUGGGAGUUGGUCAGUAAUGUUUCCAUUUAGAAGGGAAUUGGUUUUGGACAAGAUUGAAAGGGGAAGAGCAGAGGGAGGCAGAGAGAGUAUUAAAGAGCUGAUUGUGAGUUGGGGGCAGGGGUCCGGGCAGUGGCUGCAUCUGGAGGGGGAGCUGGGGUGAAGAGUUGCUUAGGAAAUGAAGUUUUCUGAUCUUGCCAUCUUAUGCAGUGAUGGGCGAGGGACCGGGNUCUGGAGGGGGAGCUGGGGUGAAGAGUUGCUUAGGAAAUGAAGUUUUCUGAUCUUGACAUCUUAUGCAGUGAUGGGCGAGGGACCGGGAAUGGUCAAGGGUGC